AUGAAUUGGUCACAGGUAUACACAUGCCCCUCCCUCUUGAAGCUCCCUCCCAUCUCCCCGCCCACCCCACCACCCCACCCCUCUAGGUUGAUAUGGAGCCCCUGUUUGAGUCUCCUGAGCCAUGCAGCAAAUUCCCGUCGGCUGUCUCUUUUGCGCACAGGAAUGGACAUUUCCGUGUUACUCUCUCCGUGCGUCUCCCCCUCUCCUCCCCUCUCCCUGUGCCCACAGGGGUGCGCUUUCAACAUGAGCUGCGGCUUUGCAAAGGAGCAUGUCUCCAGUGUGGUCAGAAAUGUCACAGGUGGGCAGACUCCAAGACCCAAACCAGGAAGAACCAGCGGCGCUGGAAGAGACAGGUUUGUAGACUACUUCGCGAUGAUUGCAGACAAGCUGCUCGGUGGAACGCGCAUUCCACGCGUUCUGCUUUUGCCCCUGCCUUGAAAUUGCCUUCCAGUUACAGUGUGCCAGAAACUAGCCGACCUGACCUUCCGAUCAAGCCUGGAAGAGCAACAGGUCACCAUUAGCCGGACAUUCUCACCGGGUCCCCUCUAAGGGGUUAGGUACAGCGUCCGUCUCUGGACUUUGCGCUGCAGUGAUAGGUAGCUGUAUUUUAUUUUUUACACAGUUGUAACAGGUUGCAUUGUAUUUACAGGUUUUUUUGAAAAAAAUUAUUAGGUAUAUUCCCCGUGUGGUACACAGCAUCCUUGUAGCCUGUCUUAGGAACAGUAGUUCGUACCUCCCCUCCCCCACCCCCCACAGAGCCCCCCCCCCCCCCCCCCCCCCCAAGACUGCAGGGCGUUUCCAAGACCAGCUUGACUUUCACGCUGCAUGAUACAUUUUUUUUUAGAUGUCACAUAUGAAUGAUAUUGUAUGUAGGUCUGACUUAGUUCAUUUAGUAAAGCGGUGUCCAAGCCCAUUCCAUAUUGCUGCCGGUGGCUUUGUAUUCUUUUUAUAGCUGAGUGAUAAUCCACUACACACGUUCACACACACACACACAGGCACACACGCUCCGGGUCUUUGUUGUCCAUUUGUCUGUGAAUGGACAUCUAGGGUGCUUCCGC
RNAcentral lists this long non-coding RNA (1058 nucleotides) under Ovis aries (sheep). RNAcentral describes it as "lncRNA (ENSOARG00000026949.1)". The record is from RNAcentral. Lineage: Eukaryota; Metazoa; Chordata; Mammalia; Artiodactyla; Bovidae.